Molecule: non-coding RNA, 1230 nt
Organism: Meleagris gallopavo (turkey)
Lineage: Eukaryota; Metazoa; Chordata; Aves; Galliformes; Phasianidae
Source: RefSeq, a predicted model, not a curated record
CCUUCCAAGCAGGGCCAUUCUAUGAAGGUGCUGGAUAAGCACAAAGUAAUAUAAUUCAGCUUGUGGAAUAGACAGCAUCAGCCAUAAAUUGUUCAAAAAGCACACAACUGAAUUGCUUGUUUAUUUUCUCAUUUCAAUGAAACUCAGACAGAAAAUCUGCAGUUCAGAACUCAUCAGCUUUCCUCUGCAUGACAAAAAACAAAUAUACUUCCACUCCAUGUAAAUAAUUUCAUCAGCAGUCCCAAAUUUUACACCUCCCUCCUACUUAACAGAAAAAGAACAAAGAACCUUACUUCAGCAAAGUCACUUUUUAGUACUUCCUAGGAGGCAAAAACCUCAAACACUCCAACAAAUGACUCUGGAUCCUUUUUCAGUGCUUUAAAUUAUGUUUGCUAGCAUAAUCUCUCAGAAAUUAAACGAGCAACGUACAUGACAUCAACAACAUAUUUUGUUUCAUUUUCUGCUUAAAGAAUACUUAGCCAUAAACAUCAUGUUGUUACAGUCAAAGUAACUUGACAAAUCUGAGAUGAUUUGGGUUUUGGGUUAUUUUUAUUUUAAAAUUCAGAGAUGCGAUUAAAAUAAAUGAGACUAUCUGAACCGUGACAUCUGAUUAAAUUUCAGAACAUUCCAUUUCUAGAAUCUGCUGCUCACAGCCAUCAUAAAAGAAUGAGAAACCGAAGAUCUUUCGUUACUGAAGCCAGGAAGAUAACGACAGUAACAACCAUGCAGUUGUAGAAAGCUGCAAUACAAUAACUUUAAACUUUAAUAACUUUAAACCCAAACUGCUGAUCUAAUUGAAAUCUUUAGAUGUUAACUCUGUGUAGUGGAAAUACUAAGUCACAGAUUUGAGCACCUGGUAGGAAGGCAGAGCCAACCCAGGGGAGCUCAGGUGCAAGCAAUGCCCCUGAAUGAUUGAAAGGGGUGUAGCCAGGAUCCACUGCUUCCUAGACCUCAUUUAAAGGUUGGCCAGCAAGGCAGUGCUAUCUUGCUUCAGGUUACUGUGCACCUGAAGCCUUCUGAAGCCCUGGAUCUUGCUGCUCUGCUGUCACUACUGUAUAUGCCACGUGUUGUAUCCUACUACGUUUUGAAAAAUCACCUGUGUUUCUGGAUGUUGCAAGCUUUUUAUAACCACAGAGUCCUUAAUUUAGCUGGCACGGGAAGAUUACUUUCUGUUACACAAACUUCUUUGAGUUAAGAAAUCUUGGACUGCUGUCUUCCAGGUAUUUAUUA